This 83-nucleotide transfer RNA is filed under the name Clostridia bacterium. RNAcentral's name for it is "tRNA-Leu". It matches the Rfam family "tRNA". From Rfam's summary of the family: Transfer RNA (tRNA) molecules are approximately 80 nucleotides in length. RNAcentral also lists the same sequence under 1 other name. Lineage: Bacteria; Bacillati; Bacillota; Clostridia. The record is from RNAcentral.
GCGGGUAUGGCGGAAUCGGCAGACGCGCCGGAUUUAGGAUCCGGUGGGAGACCGUGCAGGUUCGACCCCUGUUACCCGCACCA